This 101-nucleotide non-coding RNA is filed under the name Karenia brevis. The record is from RNAcentral. Lineage: Eukaryota; Dinophyceae; Gymnodiniales; Kareniaceae.
GCCGCGGCGCUUGAUGUACACCCUGUCAGAUGUCACUGAGCUGGAACUUGCUGACAUGGCUUUCAGCCGAUGUGGUUCUCGCCUGUAUACACUCUCUCGGG